This 397-nucleotide ribosomal RNA is filed under the name uncultured Gammaproteobacteria bacterium. RNAcentral's name for it is "bacterial SSU rRNA". It matches the Rfam family "Bacterial small subunit ribosomal RNA", at positions 114 to 507 of the family's 1533-position model. Lineage: Bacteria; Pseudomonadati; Pseudomonadota; Gammaproteobacteria. The record is from RNAcentral.
UGUCUGGGAAACUGCCUGAUGGAGGGGGAUAACUACUGGAAACGGUAGCUAAUACCGCAUAACGUCGCAAGACCAAAGAGGGGGACCUUCGGGCCUCUUGCCAUCGGAUGUGCCCAGAUGGGAUUAGCUAGUAGGUGGGGUAACGGCUCACCUAGGCGACGAUCCCUAGCUGGUCUGAGAGGAUGACCAGCCACGCUGGAACUGAGACACGGUCCAGACUCCUACGGGAGGCAGCAGUGGGGAAUAUUGCACAAUGGGCGCAAGCCUGAUGCAGCCAUGCCGCGUGUAUGAAGAAGGCCUUCGGGUUGUAAAGUACUUUCAGCGGGGAGGAAGGGAGUAAAGUUAAUACCUUUGCUCAUUGACGUUACCCGCAGAAGAAGCACCGGCUAACUCCGUG